ACCCGCCAGCCCCGCGCUCUACCAGGCAGAGCGCGUGUGGCCGCCGAGCACAUGGACCCACUGGUCAAGCGGGCUCGGCAAGGCCAGGAUGAAGAGAAGCUACGAACUUAGCAUUCCCAGAGCCCCCCGAGUGGAUAUCCGCGUGGAAAGGAUGUUGGCAGCCCCGGUGACCUCGGAGUCACGGCUGGAUCCACCCUCUUGUCUGAUUUUCUUAACUCUACUACGGUAAGAAGAUGCCCUCCAUCAGCAGGCCGUGUCUGCUGGGACCUCUCUGGAGACUUCCUGAACCCUGUGGAUUUACAGUAAGAUGCAGUUUCCUGGGGAGUAAUUCUGGUGGAUACAAAUUCCGGAGUAUUACACCUGGCUUGCCUGGAGAUGUUACAAGUAGCUGGAUGGAUUCUUCAGCCUGGAUGCCCACUGAAAACAAGGACCGAAACUAAGAGGAUUGUAUCUCUACCCUUGACUCAAUGAGAAUGUUUGUUGUCAUCUCUCGGGCUACCUGGAGCUCCCUCUAAAAUAGAGCCGAGUUCUGUCACCACAGACAUUGGCAGUGGCACUUGCAUGCCCCUGGCAAGCAGUCUAUCCUGAGGUGGAGGAAGUUGCCCUUGAGUUCUGGCUGGUAACCAGCACAGGGGCUGGGACACUGCCUGAUUGAGGUGGCCAUUGAGAAUUCAAGUGUACCUCUUGGUCCCUGAUGCAGAAAUGAAGUCCCCAGCAUGCUCAAGAAGAGCUUCCUUGGAGGAUGAGAGGCAUGGGAAUCUAAGUAUACCCUUUAAGCGUUCCAGAAGGAUUUUGAGAUCCUUUCCUAAAUCAAAGGUGGAAUAUUUGGGGAUUUGGAAAAUUGAGAUGUGAAGCGUUGACUUAAGAGAUGCCAAGUAACUCAGCAGAUGUCACACAGACGAUAAAUAGCAAAGAUGGAAGUCUUCAUGCCGGAGGCAAUCCUAUAAGACAGCUGAGUUCUGCAGAGCUGGAGACAGACUUGCUCAGGUGAUAGAUCCAGCCAUGAUACUGACCCUAAGAGAAUGAGACGCUCUGCAGAAGACAGAAGAUUCCUGAAACUGGGAAAGGUGCCUAGAAAUCCUGAUAAGAGUGAAGAAGGGUACCUGGAGGCACAGCAGCCAUGUUGAACCUAUGAGGUGAUGAAAAACCAUGCAACUAGAAACCAGAAUGGAAGAAAAGAAGAAGCUGGAUCCUUGACUGAAUUGUCGAUGGGGGAUAGUCCAUCAUCCCAGGGCUAAGACCACCUCCAGAUUUCUUGUUUGGUGAAACAAGUCCUGAUUGUUUACAUUCCCUCGUGUUGAGCUGUCUCUUGCUUGUAGCUGAAAGCAUUUCUAAUAGAUAUUCAGAUUAUCAGCCUUAGCUCCAAGCUAGAAUACUCUAUGGGACCUUAGCUUCUCCAUGAAUUCCUUUGCUCAUCUGUGUAAUGCUCAAUAAAUGUAAAUUGAACCCUGAAUGAGGGACAAUGAC
This 1467-nucleotide long non-coding RNA is filed under the name Mus musculus (house mouse). Its description in RNAcentral is "Pvt1 oncogene". The stretch from base 44 to 200 matches the Rfam family "Pvt1 oncogene conserved region 1". Lineage: Eukaryota; Metazoa; Chordata; Mammalia; Rodentia; Muridae. The record is from RNAcentral.